CCUACGGGUGGCAGCAGUGGGGAAUAUUGCUCAAUGGGGGAAACCCUGAUGCAGCAACGCCGCGUGCAUGAUGAAGGUUUUCUUUUUGUAAAGCUCUUUUGGUAGGGAAGUUAAUGACGGUACCUAAGGAAGAAGCACCGGCUAACUACGUGCCAGCAGCUGCGGUAAUACGGCAGGUGCACGCGUUAUUCGGAAUUACUGGGUGUAAAGAGAGCGUAGGCGGGAUAGCAAGUCUGUUGUGAAAGCGUCGGGCUCAACCAUAGAACUGCAUUUGAAACUGUGAGGCUAGAGUAGGGGAGAGGUAGGCGGAAUGCGUGGUGUAGCGGUGAAAUGCGUAGAGAUAAAGAGGAACACUCAUUGCGAAGGCGACUUACUAGAGCGUAACUGACGCUGAGGCUCGAACGCGUGGGUAGCAAACAGGAUUAGAUACCCUCGUAGUC
Molecule: ribosomal RNA, 440 nt
Filed under: uncultured bacterium
Lineage: Bacteria
Description: partial 16S ribosomal RNA
Rfam family: Bacterial small subunit ribosomal RNA
Source: RNAcentral